CCUACGGGGGGCAGCAGUGGGGAAUAUUGGACAAUGGGCGAAAGCCUGAUCCAGCCAUGCCGCGUGUGUGAAGAAGGCCUUCGGGUUGUAAAGCACUUUCAGUGGGGAAGAAAGCCUUGGGGCUAAUACCCUCGAGGAAGGACAUCACCCACAGAAGAAGCACCGGCUAACUCCGUGCCAGCAGCCGCGGUAAUACGGAGGGUGCGAGCGUUAAUCGGAAUUACUGGGCGUAAAGCGCGCGUAGGCGGUCUGAUAAGCCGGUUGUGAAAGCCCCGGGCUCAACCUGGGAACGGCAUCCGGAACUGUUAGGCUUGAGUGCAGGAGAGGAAGGUAGAAUUCCCGGUGUAGCGGUGAAAUGCGUAGAGAUCGGGAGGAAUACCAGUGGCGAAGGCGGCCUUCUGGACUGACACUGACGCUGAGGUGCGAAAGCGUGGGUAGCAAACAGGAUUAGAUACCCGUGUAGUC
RNAcentral lists this ribosomal RNA (465 nucleotides) under Vreelandella stevensii. RNAcentral's name for it is "partial 16S ribosomal RNA". It matches the Rfam family "Bacterial small subunit ribosomal RNA", at positions 338 to 795 of the family's 1533-position model. Lineage: Bacteria; Pseudomonadati; Pseudomonadota; Gammaproteobacteria; Oceanospirillales; Halomonadaceae. The record is from RNAcentral.